AAAGCAGUAGCGAAAUGGUGAACGCGCCGGUCAUAAAGUUUUAACAUUACCUUCCAGGUCAAUUAAAACUUAUUUCUAACCAGGGGGCCGGAAAUGUUGGUUCGAAUCCAACCUGCUUUG
Molecule: transfer RNA, 120 nt
Filed under: Chitinophaga nivalis
Lineage: Bacteria; Pseudomonadati; Bacteroidota; Chitinophagia; Chitinophagales; Chitinophagaceae
Description: tRNA-OTHER
Rfam family: tRNA
About the family: Transfer RNA (tRNA) molecules are approximately 80 nucleotides in length. Their secondary structure includes four short double-helical elements and three loops (D, anti-codon, and T loops).
Source: RNAcentral